AGGAAGAAAAACACUCAGAAGGAUAGUGCAAAUAAUCCAGGAGCUAGAUAGUAUCAAUGGCUCAGAAUUGUGGAAUCCUGGAUUAUUUGCACUAUCCUUCUGAGUGCUUUUCUUCCU
Molecule: microRNA precursor, 117 nt
Filed under: Pelobates cultripes (western spadefoot toad)
Lineage: Eukaryota; Metazoa; Chordata; Amphibia; Anura; Pelobatidae
Source: RNAcentral